RNAcentral lists this small nucleolar RNA (138 nucleotides) under Nannospalax galili (Upper Galilee mountains blind mole rat). RNAcentral's name for it is "Small nucleolar RNA SNORA40 (ENSNGAG00000004203.1)". The stretch from base 29 to 138 matches the Rfam family "Small nucleolar RNA SNORA40". Rfam says of the family: The snoRNA ACA 40 belongs to the H/ACA family of snoRNAs and guides the pseudouridylation of 28S rRNA subunit at position U4565. NB This family has a high threshold value to exclude a large number of closely related sequences that do not appear to have conserved H and ACA boxes, and may be pseudogenes. The record is from Rfam by way of RNAcentral. Lineage: Eukaryota; Metazoa; Chordata; Mammalia; Rodentia; Spalacidae.
AGUAUCUGACAUGCUUGUAAGUAAUCAGUACAUUUGAACUGGUGGACAAAGAUAUAAGACAGGUGCAAAAGUAAAUCCUCUCUGUAACCCAGAACUCACUGCUCAGUGUGAGUCUUGAUAUAUGUAUGAAGGAAUAUA